RNAcentral lists this non-coding RNA (23 nucleotides) under Cricetulus griseus (Chinese hamster). RNAcentral also lists the same sequence under 1 other name. The record is from RNAcentral. Lineage: Eukaryota; Metazoa; Chordata; Mammalia; Rodentia; Cricetidae.
GGGGAUAUAGCUCAGUUGGUAGA